CAUGCCAUCAUCAAUAAUUUGUGUCUUUUUCUAUUAGAAUGAUUCAUGCUUGUCUUGCAUUACGAUUUCAAAACCCCGCAGUAGCGUGCGAACAAUUUUCUAGUUAUCUAUUAUAAAGUUGGAGGGGAAUUGGCAUGUUCAUGGCCACAGUCAAACAAAUGCCCCUCGAUUUCACCUUAUUUGCAACAAUACCAACCAAAUUAGGCUGGGUUGGGAGGGUAAUUCUCAAAAGUUCAGAGGGUGAUUUUGUCCAUAUGGUUUAGCACGGAGCCACUCGAUUUCAUGCUAUUUACAACAAUACCAGCCAAAUGGGGGCUGGGAUGGGAGGAUAGCUCUUAAAAGUUUAGAGGGUAAUUUUGUCCGUUUGGUUUAGCACGGAUUGAUGGGUUACACGCGUGCGCUCUCCUCUCAUAUCUUGCUCUUCCUGUUUCUGUCCUUCUCAAACCCUAGCAGCCACAACUCCAUCUCUGGAAUAGCAUCGGCUCCUGCUUCCUAAAACCAAAACCACACAAACUGGCCUCUAUUUCUGUAACUCGAGAGCUUCGGUGAGAUGAAGGAGACGAGCAGGGAGAUGGACUCGAGUCCGCCAACGGCGGAAGAGAUCUUCAGGGAUUACAGUGCUCGGAGAACCGACCCCGUCCACUCUUUAACUAACGAGCGUUCAUCAUCGUUGAAGAUGCCUCUUCUCGAGUCUUCUGCUUCAUUUCGUUUCUCUCAUCCAAAAAAUUAAUCGCUGCUUCUCAAACUCUCUCUCUCUGCCACACCAGCCGCCGCAGCCGCUCAAAGGCUGGGUUUCCAAAGGUGGCGUUUUGUAAAACCCUCCCUACUCAAGGCAAGUAAUUUCAUGCCCAAUUUGGAAUUUAAAUCUAUUUAUUUUUUUAAAUUGAUUUGGGGUUACUAAAAUCAGCUAUGGAAAAUCUACCACUGCGAGAAAACUCAAGAUUCCAUUAUUCAAGUUUUGGGUUCUCUUCAGACUUCACAAUUGUGAACUGGGCAGCCAGUGCAACUGGUUACAGAGCUUCCUCCAGUUUUGACUGAAUGCCGUGUUACAAAAUCAGAUCUGGAGCUUGCCCUUAUCCAGUUUGCCAAUGACACAAGCUCUGAAGCUCACGUUGAGGUCAUGAGAAAAGUUAGGGUAAGCAUGUACGAGUAUCAGCUGGAAAGCAUGUUUGUUCACUACAUGAGGCGGAUAAUUGUUCAGUUGUAUAUGGAUUUGCUUUUGUUGGACUGUGCUGCUUUAAAGUUCUGGAUUGGUGCUAUCAGUGAAGAUGGCCCCUGUGCUGCGUUGGGGACUUUCUUGAUUCAAAAACCAGCUGUGAUCUGUUGCAGGAAAGAUUCAGAAAAGAAAACACCUCUAAAUACCGAAGAUUAUGUCUAACUUUAGCAUACUUGAAACCGCAGAAUCACUGCCACCAACAGCUAUGGUUGAGCAGUUCGUCGUUGUCCAGUAUUCCUCCGAAAUUCAACUAUCUCUCUUUACUCUCUCUGACUCAGUGCGUCUCUAUUCUUCCAGGCCCAGGGUUGUGAUUCUGGAUGCUAACAUGAUUAACCACAGGUUGGUGUUCCUUGGGAACUUGGUGCGGAGAAAUGCAAGCAUGUUGCAGCAUAUUAUGGGUUUACUUUGACGACACGAGGAGAUUCAGAGUUGAAUUUGAUGAUUUUUUUGAGGAAGGAAUAAUAUCAGAAAUUGAAGUUGGAUUAGGUCUGUGUGGAGAGCUACGGUAUCCUUCUUAUCCUGAACGGCAUGGUUGGAAAUAUCCUGGUAUUGGUGAAUUCCAGGUACCUUUAUAAAUGAUCCCUCCUUUCAUUAGUGGCAUGCAUAAUAGCUAGGGACUGACGGUUAUUUCUAAAGUUAAGUUAAUAGCCCUUCAUUCAUCUGUGGUUAUGACCUUAAGCCUGUAGCUCAUUUGAUUUUUUACUUCUAUCAGAACUUUGAAGUAGUUCUCUGAUUCAACCUGGUUUAGUCGAUCCCCUUUUGGCGCGAUGCCAAUUUACGGUUCUUAUCAUGUAAAUUGGUUGCUUCUGUUUCUUAUGGAAACAGAGGAUUUUUUGCAACCACAUCUUGUGUAAUCAAGAACGUUCAAUUUUGUCCUGUUAAUUGUACAAUGUCUUUUCAUAUCAGCUAUGUUGAAUGUAUAUAAAAACCAAGCUGCUUAUCUUACCGAUCCAUUUCACUCA
Pyrus x bretschneideri (Chinese white pear) is the source of this 2178-nucleotide long non-coding RNA. RefSeq lists it as uncharacterized. The transcript has 8 exons. NCBI's taxonomy places the organism in Eukaryota, Viridiplantae, Streptophyta, Magnoliopsida, Rosales, Rosaceae. The record is from RefSeq and is a predicted model, not a curated record.